GGAGGAAUGGCAGAGCGGUUUAAUGCACCGGUCUUGAAAACCGACGUACUGAAAGGUACCGGGGGUUCGAAUCCCUCUUCCUCCG
RNAcentral lists this transfer RNA (85 nucleotides) under Lewinella cohaerens. It matches the Rfam family "tRNA". Rfam says of the family: Transfer RNA (tRNA) molecules are approximately 80 nucleotides in length. Their secondary structure includes four short double-helical elements and three loops (D, anti-codon, and T loops). RNAcentral also lists the same sequence under 4 other names. Lineage: Bacteria; Pseudomonadati; Bacteroidota; Saprospiria; Saprospirales; Lewinellaceae. The record is from RNAcentral.